Molecule: small RNA, 16 nt
Filed under: Arabidopsis thaliana (thale cress)
Lineage: Eukaryota; Viridiplantae; Streptophyta; Magnoliopsida; Brassicales; Brassicaceae
Description: ATSL002990
Source: RNAcentral
AAAAAAGCACAAAAAA